This 647-nucleotide long non-coding RNA is filed under the name Mytilus galloprovincialis (Mediterranean mussel). Lineage: Eukaryota; Metazoa; Mollusca; Bivalvia; Mytilida; Mytilidae. The record is from RNAcentral.
CGUUUACAAGAAGGAAAAGAGAGCAAAAUAUCAUGUUUAUUAUAUAAGCUGUUAUAUGUAAAUUUUAAUAACUAUGGUUAUGAUAGUAAAUGGAUAUUAUAUAUAAAGAAAAUUUUUGAUGACUGUGGAAUGUCAAAUAUAUGGCAAAGUCACAACUUAUUUGAGAAACGUUGGGUUGUAUUGAGUGUUCAGCAAAGAUUAAGAGAUCAGUUCAUUCAAGAAUGGUCAACAGAAAUGAACACUUCGCCCAAGGGGCUGUGUUAUAGAUUGUACAAAAAUGUUUUUAAAUUUGAACACUAUUUAUCAGUACUACCAUUUAAUUUAUUAAUAACCUUAUGUAAAUUUAGAUGUGGGAAUAACCGUUUGCCCAUCGAGACGGGAAGGUGGCGCAACAUACCAAGAUCUGAAAGAUUGUGUCACCUUUGUGGCUCAGCUGACAUUGGUGAUGAAUACUAUUAUAUCAUGUCUUGUAAUUAUUUCAAAGAUGAAAGAUGCAAAUACUUACCACAUUAUUGUAAUAAAAAUAUAAAUGUUAUCAAAUUCAAACAAGUAUGUUCAACCCAAAAUAUUGUUGAACUUGAGAAACUUUGUAGAUUUAUUAAAUCUAUUUCUGUGAAAGUCUAUCCUCCUGGUUAAUACAACUAUAU